CAGGGCGGCUCGGGGACCUCGCCGCCGCUCCGAUCCCGCCUCAGCCCCGCCGGCAGAGACGGGGCGGGUGGCGGCCGCCUCUGGGGAGAGGGUUGUGUGACAGAGUUUUGUCUCCCCAGCUAAAGUCAGAACAUCAGCGUCAACUGCGAAUCGCUCGGCGCGGACUUCGCCUGUGCAGCUGAGGCCUCUGCUGCCCGAGGGACCGAGAGGGCAACUUCUCAAAGUGGAGUUUCUGGAAAACAGCAAAUUCAGACUCCACUGGGACAGUUUUGGGCCACAGAAAAAAAAGCAUUGGCUUCCUGUUUGCAGGAGACUCAAACUUCCGUGAAGGAACAGGAAAUAAAGGCGGGAAGCUGCUGUGUGUGUGGCAAAGCCGCCUGCGCUCCUCCCAGGCGCGUGCCCUGAGAUCCUGUCAAAAAGCCUUCUCCAGCCACCCUGAGGGCCCUAGGAGCAGCAGGUCGCCCCAGCUCCGCGCUCUUUCUGGCGGCCCUUGGGAGGCACCUACUUCGCCUCUCACCUGAAUCUCCCACCUCGGCCAUCUAGAGGGAUCUGUGGACAAAGCUGAGCCCAGCGACAGCCCUGGUCAGUCAGGCGGAACGGUCUAUGCAAAUCGGGGCCCGGGAACAGUGCCCCUUUGUCCUGGCCUUUCAAAGCCCGGCAGCUGGGGACUUGUGCCUUGGACCCUCGGCGCCCACAGCUAUGUCAUCAUGGCAGAACGUCAGAUGCUGAAAACUAUACGACCUGAAUUCAUGAGCAGCCUUCUUGGGAAGGUCCCCUUUCCGGUCCGCGUCAAAGCCCAGAGCCGCGUGCCGUCCCACCUGAUGCAGAUUGCAAGUUUCGGAGACAGCAAGCAGCCGUGAUAUCCAGCUCUGGGAAUGAGCAGAGCGUCCGGCCUCUGCCUGCUCCAGAGUGCCAGGGAGGGAAUGGAAGCUCCCUGGUGUUGGUGAUUGAACCCAAGGUCUUUUCAAUGAACUACAUCCUCAGUCCCUUUUUUUUUAUUUUGAGACAGUCUUGCCAAGUUGCCCAGGCUAAGUUUGAAGUUGUGAUCCUCCUGUCUCAGCCUCCUGGAGUGCCAGGAUUAUAGCCAACCACCACCAAGCUUGCCUGUUUGACAAACUGAGGAGCGAGGGUUCAGCGGGGCUGCAACCAAAUACUACUUUGUAGUUGCAACAUGGAAGGCUGGGAAACAAACAGGAAAGGCCGCACAGGGCGUGGCCGCGUGGCCGUUGGGUUGGGAGGGUGCUGGCGCAGCUCUGACUGUCGACGCCUUUGGGCCUCGGAGCGCAGCUCCUGGGGGUCUCUGGACCUUGGAGGGCGCUGCCCAAGGCCGCACCCCCGGAGACCAGAGUUUGGGCCGUGAGCACGUGGGGUAUCCAGGGCCUGAGUCGCCUGGAGGCAGAGGCUGUGCCAGCCUGGGUCUCCGACGUCGACCCAGCCUGUGGACCACGCCUGGGUUCAGCAGCCUGCGGAACUCGAGUGCCAGAGCGGCCAAGCGGUCCGGGUGGGUGGAGCUGUGGCCGAGGGGCCUUGUCCGUCCCUGCACACAGGUCCCAGGGCUGCUGACCUCCGCAUCGGCUUGGCCCUUCUGCUCUCACACACACUCACUCCCCAGCAUCGUCUCUGCAGAUGGUCUCAGGGUUGUGGCGUCGCACACUCUCUCACACUCUCCGUCCGCCCUCAGUCUCCACAGAGCCGGUGGGGGGAUGCUGGGUGGGUGGCACCCGACUCCCAGGGCAGGGAAGCCACAAAGCCGGCAGGGGCCCCUCGUGGAGGCCCCCACGUGUGCUUCUGAGCCCCAGGCUGCCUCUCCUGUGCAGCACGGUGGUGCCGGGUCCCUGACACACAGGCCACGACCUGCCCUCCGUGCUUCCUGGUCCUGUCGGCCCUGCUCAUGACUCUUCGUCGACCACCCUUGGACGCUGCCUGGACGUGCGCUGCCAGGAAGGUGGAUGCCAGCAGGGCUGUGAGCGCAGAGACUCACGAGUGUGACGUCCGCACCCACAUAAAGAUGCUGAUGGGAAAUGCGUGGGAAACCCAUUCCUCCCCGAGUGUUGGCUACAGUGUGUGUAUUUUGGGUGUAUUGG
Long non-coding RNA from Heterocephalus glaber (naked mole-rat), 2084 nucleotides. The record is from Ensembl. NCBI's taxonomy places the organism in Eukaryota, Metazoa, Chordata, Mammalia, Rodentia, Bathyergidae.